GAGGGUCUAGCUCAACUGGUAGAGCGUCGGUCUCCAAAACCGAAGGUUACAGGUUCGAGUCCUGUGGCUCUUG
RNAcentral lists this transfer RNA (73 nucleotides) under Bacillus phage Bobb. It matches the Rfam family "tRNA". From Rfam's summary of the family: Transfer RNA (tRNA) molecules are approximately 80 nucleotides in length. Their secondary structure includes four short double-helical elements and three loops (D, anti-codon, and T loops). Lineage: Duplodnaviria; Heunggongvirae; Uroviricota; Caudoviricetes; Herelleviridae. The record is from Rfam by way of RNAcentral.